CUACAUAUCUGUGUACAUAUACAUAAAAAUGAGUUUUAAACAAUUGAAAUUUGUUGUACUUUUUGCUAUCAUGAGCAUUCAUCAACUUAGUACAAUGAAAGGACAACAUCAUCGAAGACAGCAUUGUCUAAGAAUUUUCCAUACUUGGCUCCUGAAUUUCUUCAAUAAGCAGUUAAAACAUUAAUUUGCACUUAAUCAACAAGUCAGCAGUUACAUUCUGAUGGCUAUUGCGGAUCACAGCCAAAUGUCAUGGUUUAUGUGUGAUGCUACGGAAGGAGAUUUGUCUGUGAGAGGACACUUCCUGCACUUCUUUUCACACUAGCCUUGCAUGCAUUUUUUUAUUUCAUGAGAAAAUUCUAGAAAGUUUGAAAAGCCAGUGAAAGUUUUGUGUUGACAUCUUUAAUUUCAACAAGAGUUGUUCUAAAAGGUAAGAAGAAAUUAUUAGCAUUUAUUACGGCUGUGACAUUUCAAAAAGAUCAAGUUAAAAGGAAUGAAACUUCUAACAACUUUGCUCAUCACAUGAAUUAUUACUUUGGUUCACUUUUGGAAAGAAGAAUGAGAUUUCAUAAGAUUAGUUUUAAUAAUAUCAAGAGAUUAACAUUUCUUACAUCAAAUUUUAUUUGUCACAACAAGAGUUAUUUAUUGUUCAACAUGUUAUUUAUCCAUGGCUCACAAUUGCUAGUGAAAGUGUGGUUCCAGAACAGGCGGAUGAAGAGGAAGAGGGUAAAAUUGGGCCAGCUGGGCACUGCUGCCUGA
This 756-nucleotide long non-coding RNA is filed under the name Oryctolagus cuniculus (rabbit). RNAcentral describes it as "lncRNA (ENSOCUG00000038059.1)". The record is from RNAcentral. Lineage: Eukaryota; Metazoa; Chordata; Mammalia; Lagomorpha; Leporidae.